CUUUGGAGGGAGUACUUUAGUCACAUCCAGGGAGGACUGAGAGGUGGAGGGAGUAUCUUAGUCACAUCCAGGGAGGACUGAGCUCUGGAGGGAGUACUUUAGUCACAUCCAGGGAGGACUGAGAGGUGGAGGGAGUAUCUUAGUCACAUCCAGGGAGGACUGAGCUCUGGAGGGAGUACUUUAGUCACAUCCAGGGAGGACUGAGCGGUGGAGGGAGUACUUUAGUCACAUCCAGGGAGGUUGUGGUCAUUCAGAGUUAGAGACAGGUCCACAGCCAUCAGCACAUCUCUACUUUCUCAGCCUCUCCUUAUGGACUCCGUAGUGUAACUGACUAUCUUUGAGAUCUGCUCAACUGUCCUGUCUGACAGCACAGAAAUAUACUGAACUAUCCUCUUGUGUCAGUGUGGGAACAGAAGCGAUCAGCGGAGUCCCCUGGGGGUCAUUACCAAGGAGUCUGGAGAACCCUGGCACCUAGACACAACCCUGGGAGGAGAGGAAGAGGAGAGGAAGAGGAGAGGAGGAUGAGAGGAAGAGGGGUAAGAGGAGAGGAAGAGGGGGAAGAAGUGGAGAGGAAGAGGAC
RNAcentral lists this long non-coding RNA (580 nucleotides) under Salmo salar (Atlantic salmon). RNAcentral's name for it is "lncRNA (ENSSSAG00000092793.1)". The record is from RNAcentral. Lineage: Eukaryota; Metazoa; Chordata; Actinopteri; Salmoniformes; Salmonidae.